CUUGGUCAUUUAGAGGAAGUAAAAGUCGUAACAAGGUCUCCGUUGGUGAACCAGCGGAGGGAUCAUUACAGAGUUGCAAAACUCCCAACCCUUUGUGAACGAACCUAUUAGUUGCUUCGGCGGGAGGCCCCUCAGGGGGUAGACCGCCGGAGGAAUACAAACUCUUUGCAUUUUUAGCAUCUCUGAGUACUUAUUUUAAUAAGUUAAAACUUUCAACAACGGAUCUCUUGGUUCUGGCAUCGAUGAAGAACGCAGCGAAAUGCGAUAAGUAAUGUGAAUUGCAGAAUUCAGUGAAUCAUCGAAUCUUUGAACGCACAUUGCGCCCGCUAGUAUUCUGGCGGGCAUGCCUGUUCGAGCGUCAUUUCAACUAUCAAGCCCCAGGCUUGUGUUGGAGCCCUGCGGCUGCCGCAGCCUCCCAAAAUCAGUGGCGGGCUCGCUAUCACACCGAGUGCAGUAGUUUACUCUUCGCUCAGGUUCGUGUAGCGGGUGCUAGCCAUAAAACUCCCCACUCCUCAAGGUUGACCUCGGAUCAGGUAGGAAUACCCGCUGAACUUAAGCAUAUCAAUAAGCGGAGGA
RNAcentral lists this ribosomal RNA (576 nucleotides) under uncultured Ascomycota. RNAcentral describes it as "eukaryotic LSU rRNA". The stretch from base 208 to 361 matches the Rfam family "5.8S ribosomal RNA". The record is from RNAcentral. Lineage: Eukaryota; Fungi; Ascomycota.